This 642-nucleotide ribosomal RNA is filed under the name uncultured bacterium. RNAcentral describes it as "bacterial SSU rRNA". It matches the Rfam family "Bacterial small subunit ribosomal RNA", at positions 336 to 973 of the family's 1533-position model. The record is from RNAcentral.
CUCCUACGGGAGGCUGCAGCUAAGAAUAUUCCGCAAUGGACGAAAGUCUGACGGAGCGACGCCGCGUGGAUGAUGAAGGCCGGAAGGUUGUAAAAUCCUUUUGUCGGGGAAGAAUAAGCAUGGGAGGGAAUGCCCGUGUGAUGACAUGAACCGGCGAAUAAGCCCCGGCUAACUACGUGCCAGCAGCCGCGGUAACACGUAGGGGGCGAGCGUUGUUCGGAAUUACUGGGCGUAAAGGGCAUGUAGGCGGUUCUGUAAGCCUGACGUGAAAGGCUAUGGCUCAACCAUGGCACUGCGUUGGGAACUGCGGGACUUGAAUCAUGGAGAGGGAGCUGGAAUUCCAGGUGUAGGGGUGAAAUCUGUAGAUAUCUGGAAGAACACCAGUGGCGAAGGCGAGCUCCUGGCCAAUGAUUGACGCUGAGGUGCGAAAGUGUGGGGAUCAAACAGGAUUAGAGACCCUGGUAGUCCACACUGUCAACGAUGUGCACUAGGUGCUGGGGCGGACGCUUCAGUGCCGGAGCUAACGCGGUAAGUGCACCGCCUGGGGAGUAUGCUCGCAAGGGUGAAACUCAAAGGAAUUGACGGGGGCCCGCACAAGCGGUGGAGCAUGUGGUUUAAUUCGAUGGUACACGAGGAACCUUA